CCUACGGGAGGCAGCAGUGAGGAAUAUUGGUCAAUGGGCGGAAGCCUGAACCAGCCAAGUAGCGUGCGGGAUGAAGGCCCUACGGGUCGUAAACCGCUUUUGCACGGGGAUAACACCCUCCACUUGUGGAGGUCUGCAGGUACCGUGCGAUUAAGGGCCGGACAAUUCCGUGCCAGCAGCCGCGGUACUACGGGAGGCCCGAGCGUUAUCCGGAUUCAUUGGGCUUAAAGGGAGCGUAGGCGGGCGUUAAAGUCAGCUGGAAAAUCACGCGGCUCAACCGCGCCCCGCAGUUGAAACUGGACGCCUUGAGUUCACAACAGGCAGGCGGAAUUCGUGGUGUAGCGGUGAAAUGCAUAGAUAUCACGAGGAACCCCGAUGGCGAAGGCAGCCUGCCGGGGUGCGACUGACGCUGAGGCUCGAAGGUGCGGGUAUCAAACAGGAUUAGAUACCCCAGUAGUC
RNAcentral lists this ribosomal RNA (459 nucleotides) under uncultured bacterium. RNAcentral's name for it is "partial 16S ribosomal RNA". It matches the Rfam family "Bacterial small subunit ribosomal RNA", at positions 338 to 795 of the family's 1533-position model. The record is from RNAcentral.